UCAGGAUGAACGCUGGCGGCGUGCUUAACACAUGCAAGUCGAACGCUGAAGCUCCAGCUUGCUGGGGGUGGAUGAGUGGCGAACGGGUGAGUAUCACGUGAGUAACCUGCCCUUGACUCUGGGAUAAGCCCGGGAAACUGGGUCUAAUACUGGAUAGGACUGGCCAUCGCAUGGUGGUUGGUUGAAAGCUUUUGCGGUUUUGGAUGGACUCGCGGCCUAUCAGCUUGUUGGUGGGGUAAUGGCCUACCAAGGCUUUGACGGGUAGCCGGCCUGAGAGGGUGACCGGCCACACUGGGACUGAGACACGGCCCAGACUCCUACGGGAGGCAGCAGUGGGGGAUAUUGCACAAUGGGCGCAAGCCUGAAUGCAGCGACGCCGCGUGAGGGAUGACGGCCUUCGGGUUGUAAACCUCUUUCAGUUGGGAAGAAGCCUUUCGGGGUGACGGUACCUUCAGAAGAAGCACCGGCUAACUACGUGCCAGCAGCCGC
RNAcentral lists this ribosomal RNA (489 nucleotides) under uncultured bacterium. RNAcentral describes it as "bacterial SSU rRNA". It matches the Rfam family "Bacterial small subunit ribosomal RNA", at positions 24 to 518 of the family's 1533-position model. The record is from RNAcentral.